RNAcentral lists this unclassified non-coding RNA (1277 nucleotides) under Portunus trituberculatus (swimming crab). Its description in RNAcentral is "homeotic protein ultrabithorax-like, transcript variant X20". The record is from RNAcentral. Lineage: Eukaryota; Metazoa; Arthropoda; Malacostraca; Decapoda; Portunidae.
GGCCCAGUGCAGUAGAUAGUUCAGGUGUUGUGCGAGGGUUGCUUACAGUCUCGGCGUGUACGGGCGUGUGGGCUAACCGGGGGAAUUGUGCUCUAGUGUGUGGUUUGUGAUUUUGAAGUAGCGCUCGUCUCCACCACCAACCAUCAGUGAUGUCAGGGUCCUCGAUGAUGGAUAACUUCCGUGCUCUGCUCCAGCUAGCACAUGCCGUCCAUUCACCCUCGGCGCCGACCAGAGCGCUGCGGUCGCUGGAGCUCAAUAGCACAGACCCGGGUGGUUUUUACGGCGGCGGCUCCGGCGGGGACCAGGCAUACCGCUUUCCUUUGGGCCUCAGCGUGAGUCCUUAUGGGCAGCCAGCACCACGUCAGGAUGGCUACGAUGCUUCAGCAGCCUCCUGCAAGUUGUAUGGCACGCCCCAGGACCACAUGACGCCAAAUCCUUUCAAGGUGGAUUGCGCCAAGGACCAGAAUGGCUAUGGUAUCAGCAAAGACAUGACGGGAGGCUGGGGCCCCACGGUGCGCCCCGCCUGCACACCCGACCCUGUGGUUGCUCGGGGGUACCCACCUGACCCCAGCACCUCACCGCGGGACCGAUCCUCACACGUGGGCACCUGGAACACCUGCGGGAUGACUCCCGUGACCCAGCCCCACCAGCCUCCUCAGCAGCCGCCUCAGCAGCAGACCAACAACCAGAUGAACCAGCCGCCCUCCAACACAACCUUCUACCCCUGGAUGGCUAUAGCAGCUCGGAACUCGUGCCCGUGGACAUCCGGGGCCAAUGGUCUGCGGCGCCGCGGCAGACAGACCUACACACGAUACCAGACGCUGGAGCUGGAGAAGGAGUUCCACACAAACCACUACCUAACACGGCGAAGAAGAAUAGAAAUGGCGCACGCUCUGUGUCUCACCGAGCGACAGAUCAAGAUCUGGUUCCAGAACCGGAGGAUGAAGCUGAAGAAGGAGAUCCAGGCGAUUAAGGAGCUCAAUGAGCAAGAGAAGCAGGCACAAAAUGCGAAGUUGGCGGCGCAGCAAAAUGCGUCCAACAACCCCCAGGGCUUGACCCCCAACCAGGGGGCGGGAGGGGGGCCCGGGGCGGACCAGAACCCUGCGAACCCCGCGCAAAACUAACGACACAACUUUCAUCUAUAAGCUAGGAUUAAGGAUUAGAUCUACAUAAAGGUUGGUUGCGAGCUGGCCGGCGGUCUGCCUGACGCCGCCCCCCAACACAGCACCGUGGCUGCCAACUCGGCCCCCCUGGCGGCCUACCCGCCCGCCCCAGAU